Molecule: long non-coding RNA, 93 nt
Organism: Melitaea cinxia (Glanville fritillary)
Lineage: Eukaryota; Metazoa; Arthropoda; Insecta; Lepidoptera; Nymphalidae
Exons: 2
Source: RefSeq, a predicted model, not a curated record
UUCCAUAGUAUAAAUAACGAUCGGUAUCAGGUGUACAUGAUAACAGCCGGGACCGAUGGCUUAACAUGCUCUCCGAGGCACGGUGGAGAGACC